CUUCCUCAAAUCCAACUUCGAGUUCUCUAAAUUUUCUCUCAUUUUCGCUCUCGAAGGUUCCGGAGCUGCUUUUACUUUUCUCACUAAUUUCCAUGUACUCUUCGCGUGGAUUUAUCUGAAGAUGAAUGCUAAUAGUAACAAGAGCGAUAAAAGCAUCCACAAAUAGCAAAAGGGAAAGUACCUCCUCCAUCUGAAACUAAUAGUUUUCUAGACGAGCUAAAGGCUUCGAAAAUCAUCCCGUUCUGGAAAAACUCCAUCAAGUGCGAGAAGUCGGAGGAACUUUUAUUUAGAGUAACUAAGAAGUUAACCAGAGCAAAAUACUCAACUGCGAAGGUGAGCAGGCAGAGCCGCCGCAUCGAAAAACUCCAUCGCCAGUAAGCUUCAAUUUUUUGAUUUUUUUCGGCCAAUUGAGGCCUUUUAACGUAUUUUAUUGCAGGGAUGGGUACAAAACGGCUGAAAACGGCUAACCCAAGGCAAACCGUCACCACGAGCGGUGGUGCCAUCACUAGAGCACGGCGAAGCCGCCGUGCUGAAAUUCUGAAAUUGGCCAAAAAGGGUUUCUAACACUAAUUUUGAAUUUUUUCGGGUAUUUCUAGGUAUUUAAAGCGUGUUUUAAUCUCUGAAGAAAAAUUCAUAAAACUCGGAGACAACAAAUAGGCAUAGGCAAAA
Molecule: long non-coding RNA, 669 nt
Organism: Carica papaya (papaya)
Lineage: Eukaryota; Viridiplantae; Streptophyta; Magnoliopsida; Brassicales; Caricaceae
Source: RefSeq, a predicted model, not a curated record